Molecule: long non-coding RNA, 857 nt
Filed under: Marmota monax (woodchuck)
Lineage: Eukaryota; Metazoa; Chordata; Mammalia; Rodentia; Sciuridae
Source: RNAcentral
UGGGACGAAGGCAGGAACUCUGGAUGGCUAAAGAAAAUCCUGUAGUAUUCCACUAAGAAAACAACCUUCUGAACAAUUUAGUACAUUAUCUCAAGGUUUCUUUUUUUUACAUUUGAAAUAAGCCUUAAUAGUGCUCAUUACUCAUUAGCUUUCAGGUGUGGGAGAACCAUUGUAGCUUAGUUAUUGGCAUUGAAAAUGACCAAACAUCAGGGACACCAGUAGCGUCUUCUGCUGGCUGUAGUGCCUGGGCAUCCCCAGAUGGCCCUGGGGACUGUCCCGGACUCAAACUGCUACUGGGCACAGGGAGCAAGAGCCUGCAAGACUGUGCCUCCAGGUCAGGUCUAGAUUUGGGCUCGUGGCAGUGGACGGGGAAGGGCCAGUCGCCGCCGCCUCUUGGAAAAUCCUUGCUGCGCUGUGACCGGCUUGCACACUUGGCAGCCGCCUCUCCGCUUCACGCACCCUCUGGUAACGAAAAGUAUUUAGUAAUAGCCUUUUGCUGCAACUUUUUUCCUGAUAAUCCUUCUUCUUCUGAACUUUCUUUUUCUUUCUGACUAGAGUUCCUGGGCUCUUAUCAACACAUGCCCUAACUAUUCUUGGUUCCACUGGGGUGCCUUCUUCCCUUAGUAAUUUACUUCUCACCCCUUCCAUAUUUUCAUCACAAAGACAAUACAAUACACUGAGACAAAACAAGACACAAACAUACUGUAUCAAUCUUCUCCAUUUUCUCGAAAUGGCCAUUUUUCCUCUCGCCCUAUCUGCCUAGGGACGAGCAGAUUUGCUCCCGUCCUAUCUAUGGACGGGCAGCUUUUUUUCGUCACUUACCCCCGAGUGUCCCGGGGCUCCCCGUAACGGGCCAC